Oncorhynchus tshawytscha (Chinook salmon) is the source of this 2675-nucleotide long non-coding RNA. The record is from Ensembl. Lineage: Eukaryota; Metazoa; Chordata; Actinopteri; Salmoniformes; Salmonidae.
UGCUGGCUUACCAUUGGCUGCUGGCUUACCAUUGGCUGCUGGCUUACCAUUGGCUGCUGGCUUACCAUUGGCUGCUGGCUUACCAUUGGCUGGUUGGUUGUGAACUGCAGACUACUACUGGACUCUCUUCCUCCUUUGGACUGAAGCAACUGUCUAUUGAUAUGUAAUGUGUUUCCUUGUUUGAAAUACUGUAUUACGUUGACAAAAAGAUGUCAUAGACAUUUUAAUAGCUACUGACAUGUUGGGUAGGCCCAGGGGAAGGCCAUAUUACGGCCAUGCUUACCUGAUAUCGGGUUAUUAUGGCCUUGAUUACUUGAUAUCGGGUUAUUACGGCCUUGGUUACUUGAUAUCGGGUUAUUACGGCCUUGGUUACUUGAUAUCGGGUUAUUACGGCCUUGGUUACUUGAUAUCGGGUUAUUACGGCCUUGGUUACUUGAUAUCGGGUUAUUACGGCCUUGGUUACUUGAUAUCGGGUUAUUACGGCCUUGGUUACUUGAUAUCGGGUUAUUACGGCCUUGGUUACUUGAUAUCGGGUUAUUAUGGCCUUGGUUACUUGAUAUGGGGUUAUUAUGGCCUUGGUUACUUGGUGGCAGGGUAGCCUAGUGGUUAGAGCGUUGGUCUAGUAACAGGAAGAUUGCAAGUUCAAACCCCCGAGCUGACAAGGUACAAAUCUGUCAUUCUGCCCCUGAACAGGCAGUUAAACCCACUGUUCCUAGACCGUCAUUGAAAAUAAGAAUUUGUUCUUAACUGACUUGCCUAGUUAAAUAAAGGUUAAAUAAAUAUUGGGUUAUUAUGGCCUUGGUUACUUGAAGUGCUAGGUGGUGGUGAUGACCACGGACUGAACUUGAUUAUUGGGUGUGUCCCAAAUUGUACCAUAUUUCCUACGUAGUGCACUAUAUUGGGAGUGGACAUUAUGUUCAUAUUUUAUAUAUUUUAUGCCUCUUGUGUUUCAGGAAUCAUUGAUUUGCCGAUAAAUCGUAUCUUACUUUCGUAUUGAGUUUUGUCAUCGUUGUUGAAGGGAACUAUGAUCAUGCUAGCCUGAGUUCUAGACUGAGUGCCAGUCUGUCUGUGCUGUCAUGCCAACUCCUUGUCACUCAUUUAGCUUGACAAUGACAGCAUUGGAGUUAUCAAGAGAACAAACUGAUCUGGGACCAGGCUCUGCUCACCAGCUGACAACUCCAAUUUUUUAAAUGUUUAAAAGCUUUGACAUGAUGAGACCGGUCAGAAAUAUGCAGCGUCCCAUAAAACAACCCAGACCAGAACCGUAGGCCUGAUCACCGACAACGACGAGACAGCCUAUAGGGAGGAGGUCAGAGACCUGGCCGUGAGGUGCCAGGACAACAACCUCUCCCUCAACGACGAGACAGCCUAUAGGGAGGAGGUCAGAGACCUGGCCGUGAGGUGCCAGGACAACAACCUCUCCCUCAACGAUGAGAAAGACUAUAGGGAGGAGGUCAGAGACCUGGCCGUGUGGUGCCAGAUGAGACAGCCUAUAGGGAGGAGGUCAGAGACCUGGCCGUGAGGUGCCAGGACAACAACCUCUCCCUCAACGAUGAGACAGCCUAUUGGGAGGAGGUCAGAGACCUGGCCGUGAGGUGCCAGGACAACAACCUCUCCCUCAACGACGAGACAGCCUAUAGGGAGGAGAUCAGAGACCUAGCCGGGAGGUGCCAGGACAACAACCUCUCCCUCAACGACGAGACAGCCUAUAGGGAGGAGGUCAGAGACCUGGCCGUGUGGUGCCAGGACAACAACCUCUCCAUCAACGUGAUCAAGACAAAGGGGAUGAUUGUGGACUACAGGGAAAAAAAGGACUAAGCACGCCCCCAUUCUCAUCGCCGGGGCUGCAGUGGAGCAGGUUGAGAGCUUCAAGUUCCUUGGUGUCCACAUCACCAACAAACUAACAUGGUCCAAGCACACCAAGAUAAGAGAAGAGGGCAAAACAAAACCUAUUCCCCCUCAGGAGACAAAAUAUUUGUCAUGGGUCCUCAGAUCCUCAAAAGGUUCUACAGCUGCACCAUCGAGAGCAUCCUGACUAGUUGCAUCAAUGCCUGUUAUGGUAACUGCUCGGCCUCCGACCGUAAGCCACUACAGAGGGUAAUGCGUAUGGCCCAGUACAUCACUGGGGACAAGCUUCCUGCCAUCCAGGACCUCUAUACCAGGCUGCGUCAGAGGAAGGCCCUAAAAAUUGUCAGACUCCAGCCACUCUAGUCUUUCUCUCUGCUACCGCAUGGCAAGCGGUACCAGAGUGCCAAGUCUAGGUCCAAGAGGCUCCUAAACAGCUUCUACCCCCAAGCCAUAAGUCUCCUGAACAACUAAUCAAAUGGCUCCCCAGACUAUUUGCAUUGCCCCCCUCUUUUACACCACUGUUACUCUCUGUUGUUAUCAUCUAUGCAUUGUCACUUUAAUAACUCUAUGUACAUAUUACCUCAACUAACCGGUGCCCCGGCACAUUGACUCUGUACCGGUGCCCCCUGUAUAUAGCCUCCACAUUGACUCUGUACCGGUACCCCCUGUAUAUAGCCUCCACAUUGACUCUGUACCGGUUCCCCCUGUAUAUAGCCUCCACAUUGACUCUGUACCGUAAUACCCUGUAUAUAGCCUCCACAUUGACUGUACCGUAACACCCUAUAUAUAGCCUCCACAUUGACUCUGUACUGGUACCCCUGUAUAUA